GACGAACGCUGGCGGCGUGCCUAAUACAUGCAAGUCGAACGAAAGCGACCGGUGCUUGCACUGGUCAAUCUAGUGGCGAACGGGUGAGUAACACGGGGAUAACCUGCCCAUCAGAGGGGAAUAACAUCCGGAAACGGAUGCUAAAACCGCAUAGGUCUUCGAACCGCAUGGUUUGAAGAGGAAAAGAGGCGCAAGCUUCUGCUGAUGGAUGUACCCGCGGUGCAUUAGCUAGUUGGUGAGGUAACGGCUCACCAAGGCCGUGAUGCAUAGCCGACCUGAGAGGGUGAUCGGCCACAUUGGGACUGAGACACGGCCCAAACUCCUACGGGAGGCAGCAGUAGGGAAUCUUCCGCAAUGGACGCAAGUCUGACGGAGCAACGCCGCGUGAGUGAAGAAGGUUUUCGGAUCGUAAUACCCUGUUGUUAGAGAAGAACCAGUGCUAGAUUAACCGUUAGCGGCUUGACGGUAACUAACCAGAAAGCAACGGCUAACUACGUG
This 498-nucleotide ribosomal RNA is filed under the name uncultured bacterium. RNAcentral describes it as "partial 16S ribosomal RNA". It matches the Rfam family "Bacterial small subunit ribosomal RNA", at positions 28 to 507 of the family's 1533-position model. The record is from RNAcentral.